AGAGCAGCCGCUCUAGGCAGCCGGAGGUCGCACGGGGUUGAGAGCAUAAAGAGGUCUCUCCUCUAUGGUUGCGGGAGCUGAUCGUAGUCGGCCCCUAGGCCCAGGUUAUUUCCGGAAGCGAAGCCUUGUCCUCUACUUCCGCGGGGUCCUGGCAGGUGGCGGUGACAGAGUGGGUACCAGGACUAGUGGCGAGCACAUGCCAACGAGACCUCUAACUGCUCCUGUGGCAGCCUGCGUACCAGCAUCCUGGAACCUGGAACCAUCAAUUUACACUGAAGUUCACAUCUCCUAGAGUCUAGCCUAUCUAGUGUGCAAGUGAAUUUUGAGGCUAGUAUCUCAGUGGCCAUCAAAGAACUGCUAGGAUUGUCUUGGUGAACUUGUGGCGAGCCCAACCUUCCAUGCUUCAUAUCCCGGUCAUCCUUGGUCACCGUCCAGGAUCAGUGUACAGAAGAGACAAGAUGUGGCCUAACAGAUCAUAUGAUGAAGUACCUCAGAAUGUCUCCAGUGAUGAAUCUACCCUGAGGAAAACAAGAGGUGAUCUUUCUGCAAGCCAACAGCAUGAGUGCGGGGAUGAGAAAGAUGACUUUAGAAGAAACUGUUCCUCUUCUUCCCAUUACUCAGAACAGCAGUCUCCCCAUAAAGGGGCUUCUUGUUUUUCCAGAAAAUCAGGUAUAGAUCAGAAGAACUCCCCACACAGCAGAUCUGGAUCCAGUGGAAGCCAUUCUCCAAAACAAAGCAAACUGCAUUCUUCCCAUGGGUCAGAGCUUAGGAAGUCCGAGCAUGCUCAUUCCUCCUACAAACGGCACAGUGAAGAAAAGCCAGAAGGAGGUAAAAAGAGGGCUGGCCAGUCUUUGAAAACAUCAAGAGACACACACCCAAAAAGUUCUUCAGCAGUUCCUUCGUCAGAAAGUUUAAACAAACUCAAAAGGCUUGAUGAAAAGGGACGUCCUAAAGCUGCAAGCAGGCAAGCUGUAGAAAAGCCAAUGAUGGCAGAUGAAAGUGACUUACCUAAAAUUUCUGAGUUUGAAGUUGGAUUCUCAGAACUUAUGGAUCAGCCACAAGAACCUGGGUCAAACAAAAAAGAUCAUACAGAAUUCAUUGAUGACCAAGUAACCAAUCGCCGUAAAGCAAUAGUGUCAAAGACCAAGGAAAUUGAACAAGCCUACUACCAAGACUGUGAGACCUUCGGAAUGGUGGUGAAAAUGCUGGUUGAAAAAGACGCUUCAUUAGAAAGGCCCAUUCAGUUUGCGCUCCGGCAGAAUUUACAUGAACUAAGUGAGCGCUGUGUGGAGGAGCUCAGGCAGUUCAUUGCAGAUUAUGAUGCUGCUGCUUCCUAAGGACUGGUGCUCUAGCAGAAAGUCUAUCUUGAUUGUCAUUCCAGAAUUGUAUAAAUGCUUCAUAUGUGGCGUUUUUGUGAUGAAAUAACCUCAGUUAAACAUCUAGGAAACAUCUGAAAUGGUCAGCUUAAAAUCAUCUUCAGAAAUGUUUCCACUAUGGAACCUCAUGAUUCAUACACUCACCAGUGUGUGUCUUAGCCUGCUGGGGAGGCUUACUUACUCAUGCUCUGUAGUCUUCCAAGUAGAUGAAUGUAUGGCUCAGUGUACUUUACAGUUAGAUUGAACUUCAUAGUAAAUGGUAGCAUGUAAAAAUGUUAGGAUUCGAGUUGUGGUUUUUAUUGGCUUUUGUUUUCUUAGGCUUUGUUGCUUUUAUUAAAAUCAUCCUACAUUAAAGUAUGUUUUCUUAAUAAA
Molecule: RNA transcript, 1748 nt
Organism: Mus musculus (house mouse)
Lineage: Eukaryota; Metazoa; Chordata; Mammalia; Rodentia; Muridae
Gene: Pphln1-ps1
Gene name: periphilin 1, pseudogene 1
Exons: 2
Source: RefSeq, marked validated